GCGGAGCAAUCUUGAUGAAGUUUUCGGAUGGAAUCAGGAUUGGCUUAGCGGCGGACGGGUGAGUAACACGUGGAUAACCUGCCUUAUACUGGGGGAUAACAGCCAGAAAUGGCUGCUAAUACCGCAUAAGCGCACGGCGCCGCAUGGCGCAGUGUGAAAAACUCCGGUGGUAUAAGAUGGAUCCGCGCCUGAUUAGCUAGUUGGCGGGGCAGCGGCCCACCAAGGCGACGAUCAGUAGCCGGCCUGAGAGGGCGACCGGCCACAUUGGGACUGAGACACGGCCCAAACUCCUACGGGAGGCAGCAGUGGGGAAUAUUGCACAAUGGGGGGAACCCUGAUGCAGCGACGCCGCGUGAGUGAAGAAGUAUUUCGGUAUGUAAAGCUCUAUCAGCAGGGAAGAAGAUGACGGUACCUGACUAAGAAGCCCCGGCUAACUACUUGCCAGCAGCCGCGGUAAUACGUAGGGGGCAAGCGUUAUCCGGAUUUACUGGGUGUAAAGGGAGCGUAGACGGCAGGGCAAGUCUGGAGUGAAAGCCCGGGGCCCAACCCCGGGACUGCCCCCCCAACUGCCAUGCUGGAGUGCUGGAGAGGUAAGCGGAAUUCCUAGUGUAGCGGUGAAAUGCGUAGUUUUUAGGGGGAACACCAGCGGCGAAGGCGGCCUACCGGACAGAAACNGACGNNGAGGCUCGAAAGCGAGGAGACCCUUUUAUGCCCCCCCCCCCCCCCCCCCCCCCCACCCCAACGACCUGAUAGAGANANNNNNNNNNNNNNNNGACGAUUACCGCCGCAAACGCAGUAAGCAUUCCACCUGGGGAGUACGUUCGCAAGAAUGAAACUCAAAGGAAUUGACGGGGACCCGCACAAGCGGUGGAGCAUGUGGUUUAAUUCGAAGCAACGCGAAGAACCUUACCAAGUCUUGGCAUCCCAAUGAAUGCCUGGCAAAGCAGGCAGUCCUCCGGGACAUUGGAGACAGGUGGUGCAUGGUUGUCGUCAGCUCGUGUCGUGAGAUGUUGGGUUAAGUCCCGCAACGAGCGCAACCCUUAUCCCCAGUAGCCAGCACGUAGAGGUGGGCACUCUGUGGAGACUGCCAGGGACAACCUGGAGGAAGGUGGGGAUGACGUCAAAUCAUCAUGCCCCUUAUGAUUUGGGCUACACACGUGCUACAAUGGCGUGAACAGAGGGAGGCGAAGGGGCGACCUGGAGCAAACCCCAAAAAUAACGUCCCAGUUCGGACUGCGGCCUGCAACCCGGCCGCACGAAGCUGGAAUCGCUAGUAAUCGC
Molecule: ribosomal RNA, 1281 nt
Filed under: uncultured bacterium
Lineage: Bacteria
Description: partial 16S ribosomal RNA
Rfam family: Bacterial small subunit ribosomal RNA
Source: RNAcentral